Molecule: long non-coding RNA, 6220 nt
Filed under: Sorghum bicolor (sorghum)
Lineage: Eukaryota; Viridiplantae; Streptophyta; Magnoliopsida; Poales; Poaceae
Description: long non-coding RNA (SBIC_LNC000293)
Source: RNAcentral
CGAGAUCCAACACGGCGAUUAGGGCUCGGUUCCUCAACUUUGACGCAAAGAGGGAGCCGCGGGGUUGACCUAGGACGUUAUAUGGGUCUCGGUUUGCGCGUUUGGGAAGGAAAUCCCGAGAACUCGGGCCUCGGUUCGAUCCGGCCGAGUCCGUCUCACCCACGACGCUGGGAAGAAGAUGGGAGGGGGCGAGACACUGCCGGGUGGGGUCGGUUGUCAGCGACUGAGAGAGAAGGGGGAGGCGCUGCGCUGCGGGGCCGGCUCGUCAGCGAGCCAAGGCAGAGGGGCGCGCCCGCCAGGCCACGCGCGGGCUGGGCCGAGGAAAGGGAGUGGGCCGGGGCGAGGGGGAGGGGAGAAGAAAGAGCAGGCCGGGGGGAGUGAGGGGAGCUGGGCCUCGGCCUGGAUCCCAGGGGCUUUCUCUUUUUUUUUUUCUAAUUUCUUUUCUGUUUUGUUUUAUUUUUUUUCAAAGCCUUUUCAGAAAGGAUUUUGAGGACAAUUAAAUACAAACCAAAUACAAUCAACACAAAAUAAAAUAUGUCUCAGCAUGAAUGCACAAAAUCAUGUUACUAAGCUUAUGAUAAAUUUUAAUUUCCACAAAAAUUAUUUAUUUGCUACAUUAAAUGCUCACUAAAAUUCUUAAAUAAUUCAAAUUAAAUCCUAUUAAUUAAAAUUCAAAAUUUUGGGUGUUACAAACUCUACCCCCUUAAAAAAAUCUCGUCCUCGAGAUUGAGCAGUGUAUAAACAAACCACUUGUGGAUUUGAUUCUCUCCAAUCCUCUUCUCUUUCCCAAGUUGUUUCUCCUUGUGAAAACCAGUCCCAUUGCACUAGCAAAUUCAUGUCUCUAGUCGAGUAACAUACCUGGUAACUUAUUUGAAAAUUUAUUCCCUACACAGUCCUCAAGAUCAACACCAUCAUCCAGCUGAUUCACUGUAGCUGUGGGUGGAGCCUGCACUGCUACAUCCACACUGAUUCUCUCUCCCUUGGGUGUUGUCACAACUACUACUUUCUCUUUGCACUUAAUUUCCGUAGCAUAUUUCUUCAUCCAAUCCAAACCCAAUAUCACAUCUAUGCCUGAGGUUCUCAUAACCAUGGGACUAACAGGGAAAUCUACCCCCCUUAAAGAAAGACUUGCUGAGGGGCAACAAUAUGAAACUGGUAUAGUCCCCCCUGGUGAGUUUACUAGCAUAUGGGUUUUCAAGGCAACUAGUGGUAUGCUGUGAACUCUAACAAAUGCUUGUGAUAUGAAUGUAUGUGAAGCUCCAGAAUCCAAUAAAACUUUAGCGGAAAUAGAGUUGAUACUGAACGUACCCAUCAUAAUCUCCGGUCCCUCUUGUACUGUCUCUGCAGCCACAUGGUUCACCUUUGCUCCAUGAGAAUUAAACUUUUGAUUGUUGUUCUGCUGGUUGAAUCUCUCCGGGCAAUCAUAUGACAUAUGACCUUCUUUCCCACAGCGAAAACACCUAGUAGGGGUAUUGGAAGCACUUCUCUUCAUAGAGGUGGCAUUUGAAUUUCCCGAGCGAGAAGUCUGUUGUCCACUCUGUUGUUGAUUAGGAUUACGCUGAGAUUGUUGGUUACGAUCCCCUUGACUAACUGGUCCAUGGUACCUCUGUUGACCGCCCUGCUGCAAAUUGAAACGUUGGCGUUGUUGCCUCCAGAACCUUGGGCUAACAUUCUUCUCUUCUUAUCUUGACCUUUACGCAUGUUAUCCAACACAAUAGCACGGUUUACCAGAGCCUGGAAGGUAGGAUAUGUGUUUCCAGCCAACUGCAACCUAAGUUCAUAGUAAAGACCUUUCAUGAAGAGACGUUGUUUGUCAGCGUCUUCUCUAACUUCGUUUGGAGCAUAGCGAGCCAACUGCUCAAACAUGUCAUGAUACUCCGCCACAGACAUAGAACCCAUCCUGAGAGAUCUGAAUUCUUCCUGCUUGAGCUCCAUCAUUCCUUCAUUGAUAUAUCGUGCUCUAAAGUCUCUGCAAAAUUCCAACCAAGUGACAGGAGGAGCAUUGUUGGGACGAGCAGCUUGAUAUGACUCCCACCAUGUUUGAGCUGCACCUUGAAGUUGUCCAGAAGCAUACAACACUUUCUCCAUAUCAUUGCACUGGGCUAUGUUCAGUUGUCUCUCUAUAGCACGAAGCCAAUCAUCUGCCUCCAUAGGAUCAGCUGAAUGUGUAAACACCAGGGGUCUUCCCUUCAUAAACUCGCCACGCUUAUCUCUCACAUGAACAGGUGGUGGUGUUGGUGGAGGUUGAUGCUGUAAGUGCUGCAUGAAGACGUGCAUCAUCUCAUUUUGGGUUUGCAUGAGUUCCUCCACAGUGAUUGGGCCAUUGCCACCAUUGCCAUUGCCACGGCCUCUACCUCUGCCUCUUCCCCUUGCUGCCAUCUGCAUUCCAAGGUAUAUAAACACAUCUUAGUAAUGUCCAACAUGACAAUUACAAGAGUUAACGGAAUCUGAAAUUUUCUGGGUGACAUCCAACAUUAGCAGAUCAUAAAAUCAGUCAUAUCUCGAGUUCCAGCAUUCAAAAGGAUACAUGCUGUACACCGUUGGAAAGAUAAAGAAAUUGUCUACAACUUUCAUUUAGAUCAUAUUACCAGAUUCCAACGUGAGGUUAAGCAAAAAACUGGGUACAACCGAAACUGUUCCAGAAUUCCAUACUGCGCAGAAACCUCAAUUUGAAUCAGUCAUAACUCUAAGCUCAUAAUCGAUAAUAUGGUCAUUCUUGCGGCAUUGGAAAGAUAUGGAAGUCUACUUGUUCCCAGAAAAAUUUGAUGGACAUUGCAUGAACAGAUUUUGAGAUGUACCAGAUUCUUUGCAGACUGCUCCAGAAAACAGCAAAGGACAGAAACAGAAUUUUACCCAAACCCAACUAUUUAGUUCAUUAAUCCUUAUAUCUUAGGCCUAUAAACUAAAUGAAAUUGUAGAGAAAGUCCAUAAGAUCAUUACAGUCAUUACAAAAAUCCAAAUCAAGCAUAAGCAUAAUAACAAACCAAACCAAGCAUCAAAAGUUCACACUUCAAGCAUUGACUCAACUUGCGGUACUAACGUUCUCUCCCUAUUAAAGGUGAAGAUCCUAUAACUCCUAUUUCAAUGACGCCAGAAGGUGGUAAGAAAGGUUCUAAAAGCAUAUUCAAAGCAAAGAGUGGGGAUGACAACAAGUCUUUAAAAUAAGCAACAAGGUGAAGAUGAAUAGGAUAUAGUGUAGAAGAAAAUAUCAAGGCUUAUAGAACAAGGAUUUUAUAGCAAUUUCAAAUUCUUAAGACGGCCAAUUUCUAACUAGGCUUGCAUCCGACAGUCAACAAAGCUUUGAUACCAAUUUGUCACACCCAUAUUUUAAAAAACAAAAUAGGAUGCAUAAAAGACUCAUAUGUGCCCCAGAAACAGUCGCACACAUAAGUAGACAAAUCUCAAAUGUACCAUUGCUGUGUUUAUUACAUAGCGGAACAUAGUAAAUCACAUAGUCUCAUACAAAAAUGAUAGCAUAAAGUAAUCAACGCUCUCGACGGAAGCUCCACACAGGGACACUGUUGACUGGUUGACUCCAAACCUAGUACUCAUAACGAUAAUCCUCAUUCCAGUCGUCUUCAUUAUCAUAUCCUGAGGUGUUGGGAAAUUGCAAGAGUGAGCACAUAUCGUACUCAACAAGUAUAACCAGGGGUUCAUGAGGCUCAAUUAGUUGACACGGGUUUGACUGCAUUUAGCUUUUAAUAGUGGAUAGCAUAUUCAUAAUUAAAUAGUAAUUGUCAAGGUAGCAUAAAUAAUCCAUUAAUCCCAUGAUCAAGUGUAAGCAUAAUUAAUCCAUAGCAUAAACGAUAAUCAAAUGAACAUAACAACUUAAUAAGCUCAUCGUCGGCGCAGCAAGAACCCCCAAGGCCGCUCAUAACCGUGAGCACGGCUAGUAUACCAGUUUUUAACACUCUGCAGAGGUUGUACAUCUUUACCCAUGAGUCACGAUUUACCCUUUCGCCCAAGGUGAUCAGCCUCUUAACCCACUUUCAAGGAAGGUCGGCAGGGAUCACUAUGAAGCCUUUCAAAAGUUCGUCUAACAAGUUAGGGCCGCAAGGUUUCCUUUGCGCGCAGAUAUAGAGCCCCCCUUCCGAUGGCACAAUGACUCGCAGCCUAUACUCAUACAGACAGAGGCCACACUAUACCCAAAACGGUUCAGCCCCUCCGCCCUUUCGGGUAACCUCUAACAAGCUAGAAAAGUGCUUCAUACUGAGCUAAAGCCAGAGUCAUUAUAGCCCUCAUGGUUGCACUGUUGUCCCGGUGAUCACUUACAGACAAGAUCUCAUACAGUUAUUUGUCAUUCUUUUAUGUUCAUUGCAUAGCUAUUAAUCAUCUUACAAGAUCAUGGAUUAUAUCAAGCACUAGCACAUCUACAACAAAUGCAUAUCAAGUAGGUAGCAAGGAAUCCAGGUAACAAUCAUCUAUGAUUUUGCUAAGGUCGACAAGGUGAUAGCAUGCAUAUGAUAUAUAUGUAGUUAAUAGUGAAUAGGUAACAAGGAUGAUCCCAAGUUAUACUUGCCUUGAUCAAAGCUCUCCUGAGCCUGCUGCUGGCCUUCGAAAGAUUGACCUUGAUCACCGACGUAUCGCUCACCGUCUAAUCCCAAUCAUCAAUCAACAACACACAAUCCAAUGUAGACAAUCAUACACGAAGCAAACAAGAUAUAAUUAGAACAAUACAACAAACAGUGGUAAAACAAAUAUAAAAGUUUAUGAAAAUAUUCUACGCAGCGCUACGAUCACACGAACGUAAAUUUCACGAAAAUCGGAAUUAAAACGAGAAAGAUAUGAAUUUUCUAAGAUUUCCUAUAGAGAAAUAAUUAAUUAAUUAAUACCAGGAAAUUAAAAAGUUUCAAAACAGAGGAAUAAUACUUCUAUCAUGUAGAUCUCGUAAAUACGAAUCUAACGAAAUUUGAAUGGACAAAAACGGAGUUAAAAUGAGUAUUUUAUGACCAAAAUACUUCCAGUGGUAAUCUUGUAAUUUGCUGAAAGCGUAUUUGAAAUAUACCAGGGUGAAAUACGUUUUCUAAAGCUGUUGACGUAUUCCACUGUGCCGCUUUGGACUGCGGGUUGAGCGCUGGAUCUUCCAGGGGCUCUUUAGCAAAAGUACAUAGCUGAAGGGGUAUCGUUGCUUUAGGGCCGCUGAUCGCGAGAUGAACGGCUAGGAAUAGAUCGGGGCCGGGGAAAAAGAUGGCGCCGGCCGGAACAGUGACUAGCGCGGCAGUCCUCCAUUGCCGGCGCUAGAAGCCCGCCGGAGACCAUGGGAAACGCGCUAGAGUGCAUCAAACUCAAAACCGAAGGCACGGGGAGCAAGAGAGAGUUAGCGCGAGCUCACCUAGGGCAAGAUCAAAACUCGGGAAAGGCUCGGAGGUGACCGGCGACUCGGGAUGGCGGAUCGGUGCUCCUCGGAACUUCGGCGUCGUUCAACGAAUCACUGGGAGCACAAGAAAAUGUAAGAACAAGUCCGACGGCUCUGCAAGGGCAUCACAAAGCUCGGCAUGGAGCUUACAACAACCAGAGAGCAACGGAACUCGGUUAUGGCGGUGGCGGCUUCGUUUCCGUUUCGGCGAGAUCCAACACGGCGAUUAGGGCUCGGUUCCUCAACUUUGACGCAAAGAGGGAGCCGCGGGGUUGACCUAGGACGUUAUAUGGGUCUCGGUUUGCGCGUUUGGGAAGGAAAUCCCGAGAACUCGGGCCUCGGUUCGAUCCGGCCGAGUCCGUCUCACCCACGACGCUGGGAAGAAGAUGGGAGGGGGCGAGACACUGCCGGGUGGGGUCGGUUGUCAGCGACUGAGAGAGAAGGGGGAGGCGCUGCGCUGCGGGGCCGGCUCGUCAGCGAGCCAAGGCAGAGGGGCGCGCCCGCCAGGCCACGCGCGGGCUGGGCCGAGGAAAGGGAGUGGGCCGGGGCGAGGGGGAGGGGAGAAGAAAGAGCAGGCCGGGGGGAGUGAGGGGAGCUGGGCCUCGGCCUGGAUCCCAGGGGCUUUCUCUUUUUUUUUCUAAUUUCUUUUCUGUUUUGUUUUAUUUUUUUUCAAAGCCUUUUCAGAAAGGAUUUUGAGGACAAUUAAAUACAAACCAAAUACAAUCAACACAAAAUAAAAUAUGUCUCAGCAUGAAUGCACAAAAUCAUGUUACUAAGCUUAUGAUAAAUUUUAAUUUCCACAAAAAUUAUUUAUUUGCUAAAUUAAAUGCUCACUAAAAUUCUUAAAUAAUUCAAAUUAAAUCC